AUUCUUCCUCUCUUUUUUUCAGUCAAUCACACAAGAGCAAUCAAUCAUAACAUGCGACCGGUUAUAUAAAGGUUCCUGUGGCCUAACGUACAGCACACUUUCGAGAGGUAACGCUGUUUGUGAGAAGAAGACUUGGCCAAAGAUAUCAGGAGUAAUUAGUCCACCUCUGGGACCUGAUCCAGGAUGGCACGGACUUACGUUAUUCUGUUACUGAUAAGCUGUCUGGCUGUGCUGAUUAACGCUGUGGGCGGCGCAGCAGUUGCUCCAAAUGAAAUCAAUGACUUCCGCCGCAUUGCCACGCAAAGACCAGAACACUGCUUCACAAGUGUGUGCAGGCGCGGUAAAUACGCACAUCAACUGGAUGAAUUCUUCCAACACCAGGCCAAGCCUACAUCUGGUGGAACAGGCCCAUAUAGCUACGGCCGCCGCCGAAGAUCUGUCUCUGAUAGAAAGCAGCUUCUACGCCUCUUGAGUAGCAGUGCAAGACACCAAAGAACGUGAAAACAUCGGGCUAUAUCCGAAGAGGAGUCAUUAAGACAAAGGGCUUGAACCUCCUUUGCCACUUCUCGUACAUUAAGAAUAAAUGUAUUGCAAUCUUG
Ornithodoros turicata is the source of this 599-nucleotide long non-coding RNA. RefSeq lists it as uncharacterized. The transcript has 3 exons. The record is from RefSeq and is a predicted model, not a curated record. NCBI's taxonomy places the organism in Eukaryota, Metazoa, Arthropoda, Arachnida, Ixodida, Argasidae.